This 506-nucleotide ribosomal RNA is filed under the name uncultured bacterium. RNAcentral describes it as "partial 16S ribosomal RNA". It matches the Rfam family "Bacterial small subunit ribosomal RNA", at positions 29 to 523 of the family's 1533-position model. The record is from RNAcentral.
AGUGAACGCUGGCGGUAGGCCUAACACAUGCAAGUCGAACGGCAGCACAGGAGAGCUUGCUCUCUGGGUGGCGAGUGGCGGACGGGUGAGGAAUACAUCGGAAUCUACUUUUUCGUGAGGGAUAACGUAGGGAAACUUACGCUAAUACCGCAUACGACCUACGGGUGAAAGCAGGGGACCUUCUGGCCUUGCGCGAUUGAAUGAGCCGAUGUCGGAUUAGCUAGUUGGCGGGGUAAAGGCCCACCAAGGCGACGAUCCGUAGCUGGUCUGAGAGGAUGAUCAGCCACACUGGAACGGAGAAACGGUCCAGACUCCUACGGGAGGCAGCAGUGGGGAAUAUUGGACAAUGGGCGCAAGCCUGAUCCAGCCAUACCGCGUGGGUGAAGAAGGCCUUCGGGUUGUAAAGCCCUUUUGUUGGGAAAGAAACCCAGCUGGCUAAUACCCGGUUGGGAUGACGGUACCCAAAGAAUAAGCACCGGCUAACUUCGUGCCAGCAGCAGCCGCCG